UGAGAAUGCAGCCCAAAGAGGGUGGUAAACUCCAUCCAAGGCUAAAUACAAGCACGAGUCCGAUAGCGAACAAGUACCGUGAGGGAAAGUUGAAAAGUACUUUGAAGAGAGAGUAAACAGUACGUGAAACCGCAUGCAGGUAAACGGGUGGCGUCAAGCUGCGAACCCAGAGGAUUCAGCUGACUAGGAUGUUGUGAUGUGCCUGGCGCAUCCAUCAGUCGGAAUAAGAUGUGAUAGUCCACUGGGAGACGGUGGGCCCGGCCGCAAGGUUGGGAUAUGUGUACCGGGUGUUAGCCGGAGCAUGCUAUUCAUCUGUUGGGCUGUCUAGUCAGUGCAUUUUCUCUGUGGUGAACACCACGACCGGUGGAAUUGCCAGUCUGCUGUAGUCGAUUCUUGCUGAGAGGGUCCUUGUGGCCAACUUGGUGAGAUCACAGGCAAUGUCAGUGUACGGCGUGGGAGUGCCUUUGGUGUUCCUACGUGUUAUCGGGUGCUGCUUGUCAACGGGCCUGCUCGGUAGUUGUUGUAACUGCUGCUGGGUGGUCUGGUGGGCUAUGGUGGUAAUAAAAACUGUGCAAGGCACCGGAGAUGUCGGCCCCAAGAGCUCUCUAUGCUGACACGUUACAAGUGUGAGGGGGUGCCAUUGCAGUUUGCCUGUUGUUGAGUCUGAUUGUCGUGUCGCCUGCGCAAAGUGGGCCCGGCAGUGGCUUGAUGCAGGAUGGGCUGUGGAUGGUGUCUCUCAGGUGUAGAGGGCAGUGGGCCCAAUAGUCAGUGGUGCUGUGGUAGACGAGCUACCCGACCCGUCUUGAAACACGGACCAAGGAGUUUAACAUGUAUGCGAGUCAAAGGGCCCUACGAAACCCCAAGGCGCAAUGAAAGUAAAGCUUCGACUUGUUCUCGGAGUGAGGUGAGAUCCUGCCGUAACUCGCAUCGCUUGGUGCCAGCAUCAGGCAAAGAGCGGUAGGCGCAUCACCGGCCCGUCCCAUGAUGUGGUCAUUGGAUGUCUGCGGUCGUUGGCAAC
Molecule: ribosomal RNA, 1018 nt
Filed under: Scyphophyllidium campbelli
Lineage: Eukaryota; Metazoa; Platyhelminthes; Cestoda; Phyllobothriidea; Phyllobothriidae
Description: partial 28S ribosomal RNA
Rfam family: Eukaryotic large subunit ribosomal RNA
Source: RNAcentral